UCAGACAGCCACCGUCCUUGUUGAUUGAU
Molecule: non-coding RNA, 29 nt
Filed under: Homo sapiens (human)
Lineage: Eukaryota; Metazoa; Chordata; Mammalia; Primates; Hominidae
Source: RNAcentral